CUAUGCGCCUUGCCAGCCCGCUCAGGUGUGCCAGCAGCCGCGGUAAUACGUAGGUGGCAAGCGUUAUCCGGAUUUAUUGGGCGUAAAGAGAACGCAGGCGGUCUUUUAAGUCUGAUGUGAAAGCCUUCGGCUUAACCGGAGUAGUGCAUUGGAAACUGGGAGACUUGAGUGCAGAAGAGGAGAGUGGAACUCCAUGUGUAGCGGUGAAAUGCGUAGAUAUAUGGAAGAACACCAGUGGCGAAAGCGGCUCUCUGGUCUGUAACUGACGCUGAGGUUCGAAAGCGUGGGUAGCAAACAGG
This 299-nucleotide ribosomal RNA is filed under the name uncultured bacterium. Its description in RNAcentral is "partial 16S ribosomal RNA". It matches the Rfam family "Bacterial small subunit ribosomal RNA", at positions 475 to 776 of the family's 1533-position model. The record is from RNAcentral.